AUAAUGAUACUUGCGCAUAGUCGAGGUUAGGUCCCAGAGUGCGCCCCGGUCGCUGACGGGGAGGUGAAAUUCCUAUGA
Molecule: regulatory RNA element, 78 nt
Organism: Thermotalea metallivorans
Lineage: Bacteria; Bacillati; Bacillota; Clostridia; Peptostreptococcales; Thermotaleaceae
Rfam family: pemK RNA
Source: Rfam